Molecule: transfer RNA, 83 nt
Filed under: Lachancea mirantina
Lineage: Eukaryota; Fungi; Ascomycota; Saccharomycetes; Saccharomycetales; Saccharomycetaceae
Description: tRNA-Ser (CGA) cove score=74.18
Rfam family: tRNA
About the family: Transfer RNA (tRNA) molecules are approximately 80 nucleotides in length.
Source: RNAcentral
GACAGUUUGGCCGAGUUGGUUAAGGCGAAAGACUCGAAAUCUUUUGGGUUCCGCCCGCGCAGGUUCGAAUCCUGCAGCUGUCG